Molecule: ribosomal RNA, 253 nt
Filed under: uncultured bacterium
Lineage: Bacteria
Description: partial 16S ribosomal RNA
Rfam family: Bacterial small subunit ribosomal RNA
Source: RNAcentral
UACAGAGGGUGCAAGCGUUGUUCGGAAUUAUUGGGCGUAAAGCGCGUGUAGGCGGCUUUGCAAGUCGGGUGUGAAAGCCCUCGGCUCAACUGAGGAAGUGCACCCGAAACUGGCGAGCUUGAGUACGAAAGAGGAUCGCGGAAUUCCCGGUGUAGAGGUGAAAUUCGUAGAUAUCGGGAGGAACACCGGUGGCGAAGGCAAUCCCCUGGGCCUGUACUGACGCUCAUGCACGAAAGCGUGGGGAGCAAACAGG